CGCACAUUGCGCCCCUUGGUAUUCCAUGGGGCAUGCCUGUUCGAGCGUCAUUUGAACCCUCAAGCAUUGCUUGGUGUUGGGCGUCUGUCUACGCAGUAGACUCGCCUUAAAUCUAUUGGCAGCCGGUAUUCUGGUUAUAGAGCGCAGCACAUUUUGCGAUUUAGGCCUGAGAACUAGCGACCAUCAAGUUCAUUUACCUCGUUUGACCUCGGAUCAGGUAGGGAUACCCGCUGAACUUAA
RNAcentral lists this unclassified non-coding RNA (240 nucleotides) under Pleosporales sp. RNAcentral's name for it is "partial contains 5.8S ribosomal RNA, internal transcribed spacer 2, and large subunit ribosomal RNA". The record is from RNAcentral. Lineage: Eukaryota; Fungi; Ascomycota; Dothideomycetes; Pleosporales.